This is an RNA transcript of Vespula pensylvanica (western yellowjacket), 5467 nucleotides long. It is a transcript of the gene named diacylglycerol kinase theta, with no coding region annotated. The transcript has 19 exons. The record is from RefSeq and is a predicted model, not a curated record. Lineage: Eukaryota; Metazoa; Arthropoda; Insecta; Hymenoptera; Vespidae.
CGGCAACGGCAACGGCAACGGCAACGGUAACGGCAACGGCAACGGCAACGGAGGCGACGGUGACGACGACCGCGGCGGCGGCAACGACGACGACGACGACGACGACGACGACGACGACGACGACGGCAAGGACGGCUACGGCUACGACAACGGCGAUACGAAGACGAAGGAGACGCGCGACGAUCGCGAACGUCGACGACAACGAAGUCGCGAGGAGAGAGCAACAGCAGCCGAGCAAUCAGCCGCGACGGCAUUUGAUCCAACGCAAUUAUGUACGCGUACGGUUUCGAGAUCACGUAGUACUCGGCGUGUAAUUAUGUUGUUGUUGUUGUCGUCGUCGUCUUUGCACGGCGCGCCCUGUGUAGCUUCACGGUGAAAAUCUGGCGUGAGAGUUGCCGCGGUGGAAAGGGGAACAUGGCGUCGGUCUCGGCCGAAACUCGAGCCAUCCAUGGGCACAGUUUCAGUAAGAAGACGUUUCACAAGCCGACGUACUGCCACAACUGUACGGACAUGCUCUGGGGCCUCAUUCAGCAGGGGUACAUCUGCGAAGUUUGCAACUUCGUGGUGCACGACCGCUGUCUCAAGGCCGUCGUGUCUCCCUGCUCCAGCAUCGCGGCAAGCUUGAUUAAGAACCCGGUCGCACACUGUUGGUCCGAACAGUUGGUACAUCGCAAAAGAAAAUUCUGCAACGUUUGUCGGAAACGAUUGGAUGAUAAUCUAUCCAUACAUUGCCAAAUAUGCGAGUAUUUUGUGCACACGGAAUGUCAGGACUUUGCUGUGGCAGACUGCAAAGAAAAUGCAACUUAUUUACCUGGAAAGGAUUUGGCUGCUGUAAAACAUACGCAUCAUUGGCGAGAAGGAAAUCUUCCUAGCAAUUCCAAGUGCGCCGUAUGCAAGAAAAGUUGCUUCUCUGCCGAGUGCCUUUCUGGAUUUCGCUGCGAAUGGUGCGGCGUAACGUCACACGCAUUCUGCUACAAAAGCAUUCCCUCCGAAUGUACGUUUGGGAAUUUGGAAUCAAUUUACCUACCGCCACAUGCCGUCAGUAUUCCACGUACCGAAGUACCAAUGGAAGCGAUUAUUGGGGUACAAGUGCGUCGUAAAGAAGUCCUGGCGCGUGAGUAUUCCUGCCAUAACAUCGGAGAGCAAUUCGAUUUCGCUGAGAGUGAACAAAUUGGGGCUGCAGGCCGCCUAGCAGAAGCUUUGAGGCGCCUUUCACUAGUUUUGCCACGUAGCUGCCAUGGAAAUUGUCAUGCUUCCCCUCCUUAUGUUCGAGCAAGAAGCAUAUCCGAAGAAUUUAGCAGUGGUGAUGCCAAGUAUCGCGAUAACGACGAACCUGUGCAAGGUCCGCAUGGCCGUGAUCCACGAUAUAAUAAAGAUAAGGAGGAUAAAGAGAGAGGCGACGAAGAGAUGAUAAAGGUGUACGAUGGUAAUAGCUCUUUGAGGCGUCGAAUAUUUCGAGUAAUCACGAUACCUAGACAAGCUACCACGGAACAAGUUUUAACAUCCGCACUUCGUGCAUUUCAUAUCACGAAAGAUUCUAAAAAUAUUCAUUUCUAUCCAGGCAAUUUUUACUUAACCGACUUGUACGCUACGGAAGAAACUGAGUUGUGCGAUCCGACACCAGUUCUAAACUUGAAUCGUAAAGAAGGCAAACGUCCGGCAGUCUUUUUGCGAUUUAAGGACAAUGAAAGCGGAGAAGUGCGUGUCUAUCCUGGAAAAUUACAGAUAUCGGAGUCGUUCUGCAUCGUACCUGUAACGGAAACAACGACAGUAACAGAUUUAAUUCAGGAAUCCCUUCAAAGGUUUAAUCUAAAAAGUGCAAAUUCUGAAGAUUACAGAUGUAGACAAAUUCUCCUGGAUCGUGACGUAUCCGGCCGUGUUUUAUCGCCAGAAGAGAAACCAUGGGAUAUAGUUAAACAGCUCGGUAAAGAUUCCAUUAGGCAAAUGGAAUUGAUGCGCUUUUAUUUACAAUUAAAACAAGAUCCCCACGGACCCAAUUUGGCUCUAUUCGUGGGGAACUUGCCACCGAAUCUUUCGGAACGAAAUUAUGAAAAUAUGUUGACCGAGUUUUUAGGAAAAGAAAACAAAUUCUCGUCCAUUGGCCCAAUUUACUACGAAUACGGUUCGAUGGUAAUUAUAUACGAAGAUUCGAAUAAAGCGGUUAAAGCGUUGUACACUUUGCGCGAAUCAAAAUACGAAGACAAACAUCUUCUGGUUAUGUUAUUGCCAAGUAUCGAACCAAGUAUGGUACCAUCAGGUGUUCAACCCUUACUUGUAUUUGUGAAUGUCAAAUCUGGUGGUUGCCAAGGGCUACAGUUGAUUUCUAGCUUUCGUAAACUUUUAAAUCCUUUUCAAGUGUUUGAUCUGGAUAAUGGCGGGCCACUUCCUGGGCUUUACGUUUUUCGUCACAUUAAACACUACAGAAUUUUGGUCUGUGGCGGAGAUGGUACGAUAGGAUGGGUCUUGCAAUGUUUGGACAACGUCGGUCAAGACAGCGAAUGUUCUUCGCCCGCUUGCGCUAUCGUACCGUUAGGAACAGGAAAUGAUUUGGCGAGAGUGUUAUGUUGGGGGUCUGGAUAUACAGGUGACGAGGAUCCAUUGAAUUUAUUACGAGACGUUAUCGACGCAGAAGAAAUUAUAUUGGACAGAUGGACGGUUGUUUUUCAUCCGGAAGAAAAAGAUGACAAGUCCCAAAUGAGCACCAACGCUGCAGUAGGGGCAAGUUCAACCAGCGAGGACAAUACGCAAAUAUUUGUAAUGAAUAAUUAUUUCGGUCUUGGUAUCGAUGCGGACUUGUGCUUAGACUUUCACAAUGCAAGAGAAGAGAAUCCUAACAAGUUCAAUAGUAGAAUUCGAAAUAAGGGUGUAUACGUGAAAAUGGGUUUACGUAAAAUGGUCGGCCGUAAACCUUGCAAAGACUUGCACAAUCAGAUUCGAUUGGAGGUGGACGGUAAACUGGUGGAUUUGCCGCAAGUCGAAGGAAUAAUCAUUCUCAAUAUUUUAAGUUGGGGCUCUGGUGCUAAUCCUUGGGGACCGGAUAAAGAAGAUCAGUUUAACAAACCGAAUCAUUGGGAUGGUAUGUUGGAAGUCGUAGGAGUUACAGGCGUUAUGCAUCUAGGACAGAUUCAAUCUGGUCUCCGUGGAGCAAUGAGGAUAGCACAGGGUGGGCAUAUAAAAAUACGUUUGCACUCUGAUAUACCAGUACAAGUAGAUGGCGAACCGUGGGUCCAGAGUCCGGGAGAAAUUGUAGUUCUAAAAUCUGCAUUAAAGGCUACCAUGUUGAAGAAAAAUAAGAUCAAGCGUCGGAAUACCGAACCGUCGAUCCUACCUGCUAAUGGGGAGGGGGGCAAGAGCACGGACGAGUAAACCAACCAUACUGCAGCUUGCCACUAGUCAGUCAUUAUAAAUCGUUCGUUUGAGAGAGGUGUGCGAUCCUCGCCUAGACUCCUCGAUGUGCAAAAGAAAUAGCACAUAGGAACGGGGAGUUUCGGUGUGAUCUCACCCCCCCUAAAAACGUAGGCAUCCUAUGUAUGAAUUGUUCCGAUCGACUCCCGAAAGAAACGCAUGCGUUUACCUCGAUGUAUAUAUCACCACCGUGUCGAUACCCUUGGCCCAAUUGCAGCUGGAUGCUUCUCGCAACGAUGCUGAAGAAGAGCAAGGGUAAAAUGAAGCGGCGUAAUACAGAAUCCAGCAUGCAGCUCACACUACAGGCUGCGCCCUCGAACGAUCCGGAUUCUGAGAUCUUCUGAGUGAACAAAUCGUACUGUGCGAAGAUGGUCAAUGUCGUUGUCACGCAGGAGCACGUAGUCACGUACGGAAAUUAUUUUAUUAUACGAUGAUAACGUAUAACGUGUGUAAGCGGCCUCGAAAUCGUCACCGUAACGAUUGUGCUGUUACAACUUCAAUUACUACAACGCAAACAGUUGUUUCAACAGGUGGAAGUAGAUAAGAUUUUCAAAUAAGAACUCAUGAUAAGAUUCAUUGAAAAAAAGGUCAGUGAUAUCUUUAAUGUCCGUUCACAUGUUGCUAGGAUGAAACUAGAUCUCAUUUCUAAAUGUUAAUAAUCAUAGCACUGUAUGUAGCUUGUCAAUCGAUAUUUUUUUAGUCAAAUUAUAAUAGAACGUAACACACGAUAAUGUUACCUCACGAACUUUUAAAAGCAGUAUUGAAGAUCAUAAGCUACUUGCUUCUAAUAUUUAAUUUAUGUUUAUAUAGCUUGUAGAUUGGACACACGAAUGUAAUGUAUAUUACGUUUGGUAUGGUAUUUUACCAAUCUGUGGCAGUAUGAAUCGAGUAUUGCGAUAUAAGACGCAAAAAAGGCAUAGAGAUAGUGAGAGUGAGAGUGAGAGUGAGAGUGAGAGUGAGAGUGAGAGAGAGAGAGCGAGAGAGAGAGAGAGAGAGAGCGAGCGAGAGAGAGAGAGCAAGAGAGAGAUCAGUUGUUAUUAGUAUGUUACACACACACACACACACACACACACACACAAUAUUAAUAUAUUCACAUAAUAUCGUAUUAGUAUUAUGAUUUUAAGUUGUGAUAAUUGAUAUACAAUCUGACCGCUGGGCAGUCUGGAAUUCACAAACCAGGUGCGGUUAGAAAUUUCCUAGAAAUAAUUCAUAAGGGAGUUAAUGUAACUUUCAAGUAGCGCCGCUCCAAGGCAAAGCAUUUUGCCAAUUCGUCUUUGACUUGUGUACAAGAGCAGCGCCAUGAGCUAUGAAUUGGACAAGUAAAUAAAAAAACAAAUAAAUACGUUAAGGAGGUGGCUUGACAACGUUCUAAAUUUGGCUCCGACAAACCCAAAUAUUCCAAGUUUGCCGGAGCCAUCGGUAGAUCGAACAUUCCACUUUAUUGUAGUCAAAGCAAAAAAAAAGAAAGAACGAGCGAGCGAGCGAGCGAGAGAGAGAGAGAGAGAGAGAGAGAGUGAGAGAAGAGUCGGGGGAGAGAGUGAAAGAGAGAAAGAAAGAAUACGUGUUACAAAUUUAAAAAAGCCAGUGUAUAAGAGAAAUUAUAUAACGAUGAACAAACUGGAAUGGUAAUAACGACGAAAUCGUGCCCUUUUCACGUGGCAUAAAAAGCGCGCCUUUGAAACAUCGAGUAGCAAUGCCCGAUGAACGACGAUGGACUCUAUUCAAUGGCAUUGUUGCUUAUCUACAGAGAAAAGAAUGGGAAUAAGUGUAUGCAUGUGUACGUGCCUGUAUGAACGAGAGUGGGUUUUGGGAGUGACAAAAAUGCGGUGCCAAACAGUUGUAAAUAAUAUUAUAUAUGUAGGAGAUAAGAUGGAACUAGUCGUGGUGGCAUCUAAUGCAGCGCAAGAAAUGGAUGCAGUGCGACGUGUAUUGAUGCUAACGUUGUCAUGCCGAUAUUAAUCCUAAGGAAGAGAAAUGUAAUCUGCGACGCGAUGCUUGGACGAAGGAAAAACAAGUGAGAGAGAGAGAGAGAGAGAGAGAGAGAGAGAGAGAGAGAGAGAGA